CAGGUAACAAAUAUAUACAAAAUAGAAUUCAAAUUUCAAAGAUUGUUUGUUACAACAUAACAAGGGUACAAAGCAAACAGACAAUGACACUUUAGAAAACGAAGAAGAAGACGAGGAAGGAUGGGACAAAGAAAUAAAAAAACGGAUCCUAAAUUGGCACAAUUGCCUCAUGUAAAAAUAAACCGUCUGCCGUCAUCUAUUGCUCACCAGGAAAAAAGAACAGAAACAGGAAGAAGAGAAGGAAGAGGAGCAGGAAGAGGAACAGGAAGAGGAUCAGGAAGAGGAUCAGUAUCAGGUUCAGGAACAGGUUUAGGAACAGGAACAUGUACAGGAAGAGGAAGAGGGAGAGGGAGAGGGAGAGGAACAGGAACAGGAACAGGAACAGGAACAGGAAAAGGAAGAGGAACAGGAACAGGAACAGAAACAGAAACGGGAACAAGACGAGUAGGAAGACCAUGAAAAGAAGAAAAACGUUUGUUGAAGCAGUAAAAUUAACAUUGUGCGUACUUUUUGUGUAUGUUUAAAAAUAACUGGCAGUAACCUAGUCCUUAUUUUGAUAUUAAUCCGGUCAGGCAAGAGGAAUACAACGAAUUCAGAAGCAGAA
Molecule: long non-coding RNA, 604 nt
Filed under: Daphnia magna
Lineage: Eukaryota; Metazoa; Arthropoda; Branchiopoda; Diplostraca; Daphniidae
Description: uncharacterized LOC123467539, transcript variant X1
Source: RNAcentral